Molecule: RNA transcript, 3425 nt
Organism: Nerophis ophidion (straightnose pipefish)
Lineage: Eukaryota; Metazoa; Chordata; Actinopteri; Syngnathiformes; Syngnathidae
Gene: fastkd1
Gene name: FAST kinase domains 1
Exons: 16
Source: RefSeq, a predicted model, not a curated record
GGUAAUGCGCACCAGAAGUUUGCUUGCCAACCGCCAUUAAACAAAAGAAGAAGAAGAAGAAAGUUACAACACAACUACGUCACUACCAAAACGGAAGUGGCGCCACACUGCACAUGCUGGGAAUCUUCAGACUGUAAUAAUGUGGUGGGUGUGAACCUUCAAGCUUGACAUCACUGACAUUGUGCUUGACAACGGUAGCCUGGCAACUGCAAUAAGGUCAAGUCUGAGCAGAAGGGAUGUUUCGGCUGAGGGGUGUGAGUUCCCGAUUCCAAAGACUCAUUCACAUGGGCUCUGUGAACCGAGACCAGGUUCUGCAGCAAUUGCAGGUCUGUUCUGCAGAAGAGCACGUGUUUGAUGUUGUGGGUAAGAACAAGGCCGAGCUCACAGCGGACCAUGUAGGCAUGGCUGUGAAUACACUGUGGCGCUUCCAGAGGGACAAACCAAUCUUUCUAAGAACAGUUGAGUUAAUCAAGAAUCACCCGCAGUUCCUUACGCUGCAAGUUCUGGCAGAGAAAAAAAUUGCGCUCAUGGAUGAUAUUAUGUUGGUAGACUUGCUGUACAGUUUCCUCAGGCUGAAUUUUGACUUUCAUGACCCUCUGAUUCAGCAGCUGGUUUCAGAGGCUUGGCGAAGAUUAGACAAACUUCCCAUGACAUCCCUAUCCAAAUUUACAGUCUGUCUGCAUGAUAUGGACCUGGCCCACAGUCCUCUUAUAGGCCGCAUCACCAAUAUUGUGGAUCAGAAUUUGUCAUCCAUUGAUGAUGGCAGGAUCCUCUCUACGUUUCUAACUACUGUGACAUCCCUGGGGUCCCCUCGUUUUCGAGAUGCCCUCCUUAGCAAGGUGGACCACCUCCUGGACAAAAAGGAUCGGUCCCAAGCCAGCAACGCUCGCAGAGUGAUGCAGUUCCUGCACAACAUCAAGUACAACCACAGGCCAUUGCUGGAGAAGUGCAAGCGGAUUCUCCUAUGCCACAUUCCCACCAUGGACGUGGACCAGAUCUCGAUGUUAAUGGGGCUGUUUCGGUCGCUGCGGUUACACCACAUUGACUUCAAGCUGGCUGUGAAACAACGGCUGACAGAAAAGAUUGAUUCAAGCGUCGACCCGGCUACAUUUGCUAGACUGUUUAUCUCUCUGGCACCUCUUGCCAGUCCAGAGACGAGAGGCCGAUUGGAAGGCACGGCCUACAUAUUGGCUGAUGACUUUGACGCACUGCAGGUGGUGGAUAUUGUUGAAACACUGCAAGAGAUUCAGAGCAGGAACUUUACCUUGAUAAACAAACUUGCAUCAGUGAUCCAAAGGAACCUUGACACUUACAGGCCAGUGAAAGUCUGUAGAAUCACACGGGCACUUCUUAUGUUGCAUUAUAAGAAUCCAAAACUCUUCACCAAACUAAGAAAUCUUUUGUUAGGAUUUUUAGAGCGCAGCUUCCUCCCCGGUGAAGUGACCAUGUUGAACCAUUGUCUGUCCCUGUUACCUUGUCGGCGACUUCAGGAGGGUGUGAUCUCCCGGCUCAACGCAGUGGUGCCCCAAUGCCGUUUCAGAGACCUCAUAAGCAUUGCCUUGGCUCUGGAGGAGUGGAUGCGUAAAGACCCGUUGUACCACCACAGCACCAGCAGCGAGUACGUGCUUCUGCUGCAGGCACUUACCAGCUGCAGUCUCCAGAGGCUGCAGAGGGCAGACCGACUCAACUUGCUUCUUGAGGAGCUCAAGUAUGUUUCGGGGCAGUGGUUUAAGGAAGUGAUUCUGGAAGAGACCAUGGCCACGCUGCACAGAAUGAUAGAUCAAAUCGAUUGGAUGAACUUGCCGGCUCUGUCCCGCUUCAUAACAAAGACUAUUUGGCUCUGCCCUCCCUUGAUGGACCGUAUUGCCAGUGUGGCCAUUAAAGACAUUGAGAAGAUUCACCCCUCAGCAAUUUAUGACAUCCUGCGUCCCUUUUCGACCUUAAAGUAUGAUCCCAAAGGAGCAGAGGGGUUUUACGACGCUUGUAUAAAGCGCUUCACUCCUCAUAUCAGCUCCUUGGACUGUCAUCGACUGGUUUUGCUGGCAUCCGUCUUGGCGGUUGCAGGUUAUUUCCCUGAGGAACUUGUCAGACACAUCUUCAACAUAGAUUUCCUUGGAAAGCUGGAGGCCGAGUUGGAAUUCUUCCCUGCUAGCUCCAACAGGCGCAUCCAACAGCGUCUCAUGGAGCUCAAUCGUGCCGUGUCUCUUGAGUGUCCUGAAUUUCAGGUCCCAUGGUUUCAUCAUCGCUACUACUGGGACACGCUAAGCCCAAGGACGGCUUUUCUCAGUCCUGUCCAUCAGCAAAUCCAUACAAUGUUGGGUGAAGUGCUUGGUGGCGUUAACUGUGUCAGGGCGGCAGAGGUCACGCAUUAUUUUUACACUCUUGAGUUCGAAUUCAUUUUGGACAAGCACCUAAAGCCGCUGCCCUUCAGCAAGCCGAGUUUUGUGCAGAUCUCAGAUGAAGGCGAGAAUCUCUGGUCUCCCAGCUCAUUGGAGAAGAGCAGGAAGGAGCUUCCACCAGGGGCACAGCGUGUUUGUAUCGACUUCCUCGACUCCAAGUCUUUCUGCAAAAAUUCCCAACAUAUGACAGGCGUAGCGGUGAUUAGGAGGCGGCACCUUGAAAUUCUGGGAUAUCGUGUUGUUCAGAUCCCCCACUUCGAAUGGAACUCUAUGGAGCUUUCUACACAGGACGCUUGGAAGGAAUACCUAAGGAAGAAAAUAUUUCUUAGCGCCAGUUAGCCCUGAAGGCCUUAAUGAUUCAGCUGACAAAAUAACUAACACCAUUUAUUUUUGAUAUACCUGCAGUUUUUGUACAGUAAUGAAUGUAUUAAUACAUUUCUGUUUGUAUUAAGCCUUCAAAACCCAAGACUCUGUUUUAGACCAGUUUUUAAACAUACGUAUUGCAGCCGGUCACCCAGGAUGUGGGUUCAGACCAUGACAGUCCCUGGGAUUUGUGCAGCCCUUGGAGGCACCCGUUGUCAUUAUGUCAGGAUGCUUAGAAAAAAAAUCCAAAUACAGCUGGGAAUAAUAUUUUAAUAUUUGAAUGUGACACGUGAGGGAAUCUAGUAUAUUCCAUGACAUUACUAUAUUUAAUACAAAUGGACAGCUUUUUGGAUGCACUCCUACACUGAAAAGGAAAUAUUAAGCAGACUAAAAACACAAUAAGUGUGAUAUUGUACUGCUGCAUGCUAACUGACUCAUCAACAUGCAUUUAUCUUCAUAAAGGACAAAGUUGGGCGGGGUUCAAAGUUUUGGCAUCCUGGCCACGUUGAGGCGCAUCGCUGCACAGGACGCUCCGGCUGCGUAGCGCAUCUCCCUGAUCAUCCCCGCCCACUCUUUCUUGUCCUCUUCAUACCUGAAGGUGAUAGAGCGCAUGUUGAAAAAGUACACACGAUGACAUAUACAGUGGGGCAAAAAAGUAUUUAG